GCAACUCUAAUUCAUCUUCUAAUUCAUCCAAAUCGAUACGCACAUCAUUUCCAGCUUCAUUUUCACUAGAAUGACUGGAUUCUUCACUUAAACAAAGUACAUAAUCGCUGGAUUCUUGGGAAGACAUGAUCGAUGGAGUAGGAUAAUAUUUCAGAUCGUAGGAAGUGAAGAAAAUGUCAAACAAAUGUGGAGGAAAAGAAGAAGAAAAAAUUCUGAUGGUGGAGAAUCAAAGAAAUAUGAAGGAGAAGAAGAAGGAAAAAAAUUCUAAUGGUGGAGAGUGGAGGAGAUGUGGAGGAGAAGAACUGAAAAAGAAUUAUAAGGACAAAGGAGGCAACGGCUAGGGUUUCAAAGAAUAAGAUUUAAACUUAUAAGGAGUAAGAUUUAAACUUAUUAAAAU
Molecule: long non-coding RNA, 397 nt
Filed under: Zostera marina
Lineage: Eukaryota; Viridiplantae; Streptophyta; Magnoliopsida; Alismatales; Zosteraceae
Description: long non-coding RNA (ZMAR_LNC003274)
Source: RNAcentral